RNAcentral lists this ribosomal RNA (158 nucleotides) under uncultured bacterium. Its description in RNAcentral is "partial 16S ribosomal RNA". It matches the Rfam family "Bacterial small subunit ribosomal RNA", at positions 355 to 509 of the family's 1533-position model. The record is from RNAcentral.
UGAGGAAUAUUGGUCAAUGGGCGGAAGCCUGAACCAGCCAAGUCGCGUGAGGGAAGAAGGCCCUGCGGGUCGCAGACCUCUUUGGACGGGGAGCAAGGCCGCGGACGUGUCCGCGGAAGGAGAGUACCCGUAGAACAAGCAUCGGCUAACUCCGUGCC